This 726-nucleotide long non-coding RNA is filed under the name Homo sapiens (human). RNAcentral's name for it is "HSALNT0172925". The record is from RNAcentral. Lineage: Eukaryota; Metazoa; Chordata; Mammalia; Primates; Hominidae.
GAUAUGGGUGAAAAAUUCCUCAGAUAAAUAGAUAUCAUAAAGGAAAAACAAUCACAACUUCUAGAAAUGAAAGGAAUACUUAGAGAAAUACAAAAUUCAGUGGAAACAUUCAACAAUAGACUAGAACAAGUAGAAGAAGGAGCUUCAGAGCUAAAAGGCAAGGCUUUCAAAUUAACCCACUAAGACAAAGACAAAGAAAAAAGAAUAAAAACAUGAACAAAGCCUCCAAGAAAUGUGGGAUUCUGUUAAAUGGGCAAACAUAAGGAUAAUUGGUGUUCCUGAAGAAGAAGAAAAAUCUGAAAGUUUGGAAAACUUAUUUGAGAGAAUAAUAGAGGAAAACUUCCCUGGUCUUACUAGAGAUCUAGACAUCCAAAUGUGAUAAGCUCAAAGAACACCUGGAAAAUUCAUCACAAAAAGACCAUCACAUAGGCAUGCAGUCAUUAGUUUAUCUAAUGUCAGGACAAAGGAAAGAAUCUUAAGAGGUGUGAGACAAAAGUAUCAGUUAACCUAUAAAGGAAAAUCUAUCAGAUUAAUAGCAGACGUCUCAGCAGAAACCUUACAAGCAAGAAGGGAUUGGGGUCUCAUCUUCAGUUUCCUGAAACUAAAAAAAAAAAAAAAAAAAAAAAAAAAUUGUCACACAAGGAAUUUGUAUCUAGCAAAGCUAGUUUCAUAAAUGAAGGAGAAAUAAAACAUUUUUAACACAAACAAACGCUGAGAGAAUUCACC